ACACGGACAGAGUCUCCCCUGUAUUUGCACGGCGUCGCACAAGUACAAGAAGUAAUCCAGGUACAACCACAACCAAAUGAAUAUAGAAACGACUAUGCAAUCAUUCAUUCACCAUUCACAUCACAGUUAUACGUUCAAUAUUUAAACAUAAAUCCACAGAAAAUCCUUUGAAAACUGUUUCCUACACGGAAACCUUUAUUCUUUAAAAACGUUACCACGAGGGGUAGAAAACCUUUUAUUUACGAAAACCAUGAAUCCUUUUUAUUACAUUCAUAAAGCCAAAUGAAAAUAUGAUAGUUAACUGAAAUAUCCAAAAACUGAACCAUAUAAACUAUCUAAGCUAUAUCAACAGGAUAGUAAAGGUAGAAACUAAACCGAAUAACCUGGGUCGAAAGCUCUAUCGACCGCUACGUACGUAUCUCACGUCUCGUCUCAACCCUCACCGCCCGCGAUACCUGAAAAAUAGUGGGGGGGGUGAGAACAUGUAAACAUGUCUCCCCUCCCAGUGGGUACCGCAAGCCGAUGAAGGCAAGGAGUACUCACCGGAUCAGGAAGAGCUAAACAACAGUACGGGUCAGUAGAAAAUACAGUAGCAAUAAUAAUGAAUGAAAGAGACGUAUAUAAAAGAAAGUACAACUACCGCUACUGUAAUGAACAACUGAAUGUAUACAUGUAACAAGACUAUAGUAGCAAGACAAUGUAACGAAAGAACUGAAGAUAUUCAAGCGACAACUGCUACUAUAGUUAUAUGCGUCAACCAGACGAUAAGUCCAAAUAUACCCAAUCUAAAAUCUGCUGCUCUGUUGGUCCGCGCCGGAACCUCAAGCCUGUGCCCUGGAGGUUCACACCGGAGACCUCCGCUCUACCAUGCAUCUAACCCCUCUAGGGCUCACGGGUCGACACCUGCAACCACUUUUCCGAAAAAGAACACCCUCUUGCGGUGGAUCAAACCGCUGGUGUUUGUGAAAUGCGAACGAGUCUCAGGCGGUCAAUGCUGAUAUGCUCAAAGGCCAAACGUCGGCAACCAGCAGACAAUCUUGCCCACAGGGCUCAUCGACCGUAUAGGUCAUCAACUGUAAGGAAGCACAAGAACUGACCACUCAGGUCAACUAGGAUGGGACAACAUCAACAUCCUCUCAAACAUAUGCAAAUACUGCUCAAUGAACCACAAGGACUGACAACUCAGAUCAACUA
RNAcentral lists this long non-coding RNA (1194 nucleotides) under Ananas comosus (pineapple). Its description in RNAcentral is "long non-coding RNA (ACOM_LNC033417)". The record is from RNAcentral. Lineage: Eukaryota; Viridiplantae; Streptophyta; Magnoliopsida; Poales; Bromeliaceae.